This 773-nucleotide ribosomal RNA is filed under the name uncultured Neocallimastigales. RNAcentral's name for it is "partial large subunit ribosomal RNA". It matches the Rfam family "Eukaryotic large subunit ribosomal RNA", at positions 23 to 633 of the family's 3401-position model. The record is from RNAcentral. Lineage: Eukaryota; Fungi; Neocallimastigomycota; Neocallimastigomycetes; Neocallimastigales.
AGAGAGAGACAUGCGCGCAUAUCAAUAAGCGGAGGAAAAGAAACUAACAAGGAUUCCCCUAGUAACGGCGAGUGAAGCGGGAAGAGCUCAAAUUUGAAAUCUUAAAGGGUUUCCCUUUACGAAUUGUAGUUUAAGAAGUGUUUUCUGUUGAGGUUUUGGUAAAAGUUCUUUGGAAUAGGACAUCAUAGAGGGUGAGAAUCCCGUAUUUGACCUUUACUUUCAACUUUGUGAUACACUUUCAAAGAGUCGGAUUGUUUGGGAAUGCAGUCCAAAAUGGGUGGUAAAUUUCAUCUAAAGCUAAAUAUUGGCGAGAGACCGAUAGCGAACAAGUACCGUGAGGGAAAGAUGAAAAGAACUUUGAAAAGAGAGUUAAACAGUACGUGAAAUUGUCAAAAGGGAAGCGUUUGACACCAGUGUUGUUUUUCUGAAAAUCAAUUAAAGAACUGUUUAUGCUAAGUUGUUUAGACUUUAUCAGCUAACUGUUUAGUUUUGAGCUUUUCUUUAAUGCACUUUUCAGUUAACAAGUCAACAUCAAUUUCUUUUGCUGUAAAAAAGCUUGAGGAAGGUGGCUUGAGAUUCGUCUUAAGUGUUUAUAGCCUCUUGCCUAUGCAGUCGGAGAGAUUGAGGUCUGCAGCGUAGAUCCUUCGGGGCUAAAUGCAUUUGUGCUAAGUUAUAGCAUUUUAUAGACAACUUGUUGACUAUGAUUUGUCUUGUAGCUUACUCGCUUAUGUUAUUUUACCUACGCUUAGGAUGUUGAAGACUCUACAGAGAUA